This 77-nucleotide transfer RNA is filed under the name Actinomycetota bacterium. Its description in RNAcentral is "tRNA-Ser". The record is from RNAcentral. Lineage: Bacteria; Bacillati; Actinomycetota.
GGGGUGCCGGAGCGGUCGAACGGGGCGGUCUUGAAAACCGACGUUCCAGACCCGCGGCGUACCUUUCCUGUCCUCCA